AACGAACGCUGGCGGCAUGCCUAACACAUGCAAGUCGAACGAGACCUUCGGGUCUAGUGGCGCCCGGGUGCGUAACGCGUGGGAACCUGCCCUUAGGUUCGGAAUAACUCCCCGAAAGGGGUGCUAAUACCGGAUAAUGUCUUCGGACCAAUGAUUUAUCGGCUUUUGAUGGGCCCGCGUUUGAUUAGCUAGUUGGUAGGGUAAAAGCCUACCAAGGCGAAGAUCCAUAGCUGGUCUGAGAGGAUGAUCAGCCACACUGGGACUGAGACACGGCCCAGACUCCUACGGGAGGCAGCAGUGGGGAAUAUGGGACGAUGGGCGAAAGACUGAGCCAGCAAGGCCGCGUGAGUGAUGAAGGCCUGAGGGUUGUAAAGCUCUUUUAACCGGGAUGAUAAUGACAGUACCGGGAGAAUAAGCCCCGGCUAACUACGUG
RNAcentral lists this ribosomal RNA (433 nucleotides) under uncultured bacterium. Its description in RNAcentral is "partial 16S ribosomal RNA". It matches the Rfam family "Bacterial small subunit ribosomal RNA", at positions 29 to 507 of the family's 1533-position model. The record is from RNAcentral.